ACGCGGCUGGCUCUGUCGGUAGAGCGUGUGACUCUUGAUCUCAGGGUUGUAAGUUCGAGCCCCACGUUGGGUA
This 73-nucleotide transfer RNA is filed under the name Felis catus (domestic cat). It matches the Rfam family "tRNA". Rfam says of the family: Transfer RNA (tRNA) molecules are approximately 80 nucleotides in length. Lineage: Eukaryota; Metazoa; Chordata; Mammalia; Carnivora; Felidae. RNAcentral also lists the same sequence under 2 other names. The record is from Rfam by way of RNAcentral.